Molecule: ribosomal RNA, 1343 nt
Filed under: uncultured bacterium
Lineage: Bacteria
Description: 16S ribosomal RNA
Rfam family: Bacterial small subunit ribosomal RNA
Source: RNAcentral
GACGAACGCUGUCGGCGUGCUUAACACAUGCAAGUCGAACGGAAAGGCCCUGCUUUUGUGGGGUGCUCGAGUGGCGAACGGGUGAGUAACACGUGAGUAACCUGCCCUUGACUUUGGGAUAACUUCAGGAAACUGGGGCUAAUACCGGAUAGGAGCUCCUGCUGCAUGGUGGGGGUUGGAAAGUUUCGGCGGUUGGGGAUGGACUCGCGGCUUAUCAGCUUGUUGGUGGGGUAGUGGCUUACCAAGGCUUUGACGGGUAGCCGGCCUGAGAGGGUGACCGGCCACAUUGGGACUGAGAUACGGCCCAGACUCCUACGGGAGGCAGCAGUGGGGAAUAUUGCACGAUGGGCGGAAGCCUGAUGCAGCAACGCCGCGUGCGGGAUGACGGCCUUCGGGUUGUAAACCGCUUUCGCCUGUGACGAAGCGUGAGUGACGGUAAUGGGUAAAGAAGCACCGGCUAACUACGUGCCAGCAGCCGCGGUGAUACGUAGGGUGCGAGCGUUGUCCGGAUUUAUUGGGCGUAAAGGGCUCGUAGGUGGUUGAUCGCGUCGGAAGUGUAAUCUUGGGGCUUAACCCUGAGCGUGCUUUCGAUACGGGUUGACUUGAGGAAGGUAGGGGAGAAUGGAAUUCCUGGUGGAGCGGUGGAAUGCGCAGAUAUCAGGAGGAACACCAGUGGCGAAGGCGGUUCUCUGGGCCUUUCCUGACGCUGAGGAGCGAAAGCGUGGGGAGCGAACAGGCUUAGAUACCCUGGUAGUCCACGCUGUAAACGGUGGGUACUAGGUGUGGGGUCCAUUCCACGGGUUCCGUGCCGUAGCUAACGCUUUAAGUACCCCGCCUGGGGAGUACGGCCGCAAGGCUAAAACUCAAAGGAAUUGACGGGGCCCCGCACAAGCGGCGGAGCAUGCGGAUUAAUUCGAUGCAACGCGUAGAACCUUACCUGGGUUUGACAUGGAUCGGGAGUGCUCAGAGAUGGGUGUGCCUCUUUUGGGGUCGGUUCACAGGUGGUGCAUGCCUGUCGUCAGCUCGUGUCGUGAGAUGUUGGGUUAAGUCCCGCAACGAGCGCAACCCUUGUUCACUGUUGCCAGCACGUUAUGGUGGGGACUCAGUGGAGACCGCCGGGGUCAACUCGGAGGAAGGUGGGGAUGACGUCAAGUCAUCAUGCCCCUUAUGUCCAGGGCUUCACGCAUGCUACAAUGGCUGGUACAGAGAGUGGCGAGCCUGUGAGGGUGAGCGAAUCUCGGAAAGCCGGUCUCAGUUCGGAUUGGGGUCUGCAACUCGACCUCAUGAAGUCGGAGUCGCUAGUAAUCGCAGAUCAGCAACGCUGCGGUGAAUACGUUCCCGGG